CGCACAACAUUCUAUACUAUUUUUCGCACAAAAUCAAUUUUUUCUUUGAUAUCACGCUUCUCUCUAUCUCCCACUGCCCUGGCUAAUAUCACGUCUCUCUCUUAUGCUUCUCUCAUUCUGUUUCUCAAUCUCUGGCGCCACAAAAUCCUCCAGUAAGCUGCAUCGUACCACUGGCAUCCUCUACGUACGCAGCAAGCUCUCCCCAACUCGCCUCCAUCGAACCCCCCGCAGGCUUGAUAUUCAGAGGCUUGAGAUUGCCAAAAACGACUUGCAACACAGGAUCGCAAAAGAGGCUAGAGGAAAUGCAAUUUUACAAGCAAGCUUAGAAAGAAGGAAGCAAGCAUUGCAUGAACGGUGCAUGGCACUUGAACAAGAUGUUAUUCUCACAAUGAUAUCGAUCUAUCUCCGGGGCAAAGUUUGGAUGGAAGUUUCCGGAAGUCUAACUCUGAGAGAGAGAGACAGAGACGGUGAGAGAGAGAUUCGGCAGAGAGAGUGAGAUGCCGAGAGAGAUCGGGAGACAGAGAGAUGGGAGGCCGAUCCUCCAUGGAUCUUCCGGUGGGCGAGCUGGAUCGUCGCCGGUGAGCCAGGGGUGCGUUUUUUCGGCGAAACCCAGGAGCUUGGACUCGUGACCCGUGAGCUGAACCCGACGAACCUAGGAGAACCUGUAUGACCCAAUCUUCAGUGGUGAAGUCCGGCGCGAUUUUCGGCGGUUCUUGUGGAUUUCCGGUGAAGACUUGUUGAACCUGAGACCAACAGAGGAAGAAACCCGAUUUUUCCGGCGACUUCAUGAUGCGAUUUUUCAAUAGAUUUUUAAGAAACUCCCUAAACUAAAUUUUAUGAUUUAAUUUGAUUAAAUCAGUUUAUUAUGGGUUCCCUUGUUGAUCGGAUUAUUGAUGAUUUGAUAUGGAUGUUAUUUGGUUUUGUUAUUGAAAUAUAUUAUGGAUUUGGAUUGUGAUAUUCUGAAAUUAGUUUACUGAUUUGGGUAUUUAGGAUUGUGUAUUUCGGUGGCUUUUCUUCCCUGUUUUGAAAUGGGUUUUGGCAGUGUGUGAAUGGGUUUUGAGAGUUGAUUUAUUCCCCUGUUCUUGUUGGUGUUGGCUAGGUAAGAUUGAAGAACUGAUUAUUGAUUGUGUGAUUUUCUGGUGUUUUGGUUGGAUAGAUCAAAUGAUUUCUUCUGUUUUCCUUUUAGGCUGAGUGAGUGUUGAUUUCUGUGGGUUUUAGGCAGGAGAAACUUAUGGGUUAUUUUGAUGGCUAAUUGAUGGAUUUCAUUUUCAGAAAAGAAGCCGAAUGGGUUUUUGUUAAUUAUUUUUGGAGUUUUGAUUUCAUGGUUUGAUUUGGGUUAUUGAAGACAAAAACCGGUUGGGUACUGUGAAAAUUAUUCUGGUUUGUUUUUGUAUGAAGAUUUUUAAUGGAUUUCUAUUUGAAAAUUCUAAGGUUGAUGUCAUAAGCUUGGUUUGGAUUGUUAAUGCUAGAAGGUGGGAGUAGUAAGUAAUUUUGAUUUCCUGGUUAGUUUAUGGGGUUUAAAUUAUGAUGGGUGAUUUGAGAGUUGUUUUGAUUAUAAUGUUGGGGUCCAUUUUGUUAAAGGAUUCUUGGAUUUGUGGGUAUAUAAAUUGGUGUUGGUGUAUUGAUGGGAAGAAGGGUAAUAAUACGGUUUGAGAAUUUUGGAUUAGAUGAAAUAUUGUCUCUAUCUUUUCAUGACGCUAUGCCCUUGUAAAAAAAAAAUAUAUAAAUUAUUUUGUUGUGAAUUGGUGAUUGAGAAUUAUUGUGGUGAUAAUUUUUUCUAAAUGAUCUUGCUGGGAAUUUUUAUGAAAGACUUUUGGUUAGUGGCUGAUUGGGUUGAAAUCUCAUUUAUGGAAAAUUCUGUUUAGGUUUCAAUAUAUUGAAAAUUAUUGAUCCAUUGGUUAAUAUGAGAAUAAAUUCUGGGUUUGGCUGAGAAUGUUGGUUUUUCUAUUUACGAUUUAUUGUUGGAUAUUUUUUUUAGUGCAUUGAGUUUCUGCUUAAAGGCUUGAGGAUUUAUCAUGUUUUGGACAAAUUGAUGAGAAUUGAGUUCUCUCUUGAUGAUCGGAUGGUGUUUAUGUUUUGGAUAAGGUUCUAUUAUGUUGCCAUAAAUCUUAAUGAGUUCAACUUAAUAUUGGAUUGUUUGGAUAUGAAGUUUCAGAUUAAGGAUUUGUUAAUUCAAGGGAAUUGUUGUUUUUGGGGAGUUUUUGCGGGUUAGGCCAAAUGAGUUCAUAUUAAAAUUCCUAGAGCAUUGAUGAUCUAGUCACUAAGUAGUAAUGUGGACUUAUGAAUAUUGAUGGGUAGUACAAUUUGGAGACCUCUAGUUACGUGUUAAGUUUACUUUAAUUAAGUUGUAGACUUCAAAUUUCAGAAUAUUCUUCUAAGCUUCUUCUUUCAAUUUAUUUAGGUAAAAGCUCGAUCCCGACGCUAAUGGCAAGUCCAGGAUGGAGUAAGCCGGAGUCACUUUUUGGUAAUGGCAGACUUCGCUAAGGGCAAUAGAUAUUUUGGGGGACGGUUGUAACCUUUGUAUUGUACAAUAUGUUUACCUUUAGAAAUCUAUAGCAUUGUAAAGAGCUACUCUUUUAUGCAUGUAAAUAAAAUAGAUGGUAUCUAUUAGAGGUAUGCUUUAUGCAAA
This is an RNA transcript of Alnus glutinosa, 2629 nucleotides long. It is a transcript of the gene named rho GTPase-activating protein 7-like, with no coding region annotated. The record is from RefSeq and is a predicted model, not a curated record. NCBI's taxonomy places the organism in Eukaryota, Viridiplantae, Streptophyta, Magnoliopsida, Fagales, Betulaceae. The transcript has 6 exons.